GUUUAAGGGUCUUGCAAAAGAGCAGACCCAUCAAUCCCGUUUAUUAUGAGAAGAAUUCAGUUGGGACAGAGGUUUUGCAAGAAAGUACAUUGUAGCUACAUGCCGAAAAUGUGCAGUGAAAAAAAUUGCAAACCAUAUUGCGCUUCUCUUGUAGAACCAGGAAAUAGAGUUGCUGAGAAAUACAAUCAUAUCAUUUGUCCUCUGUUUUUGGAAGACCCUUAAACUUGAAAUUAUCUGCAUAUGACUUGACCUU
Molecule: unclassified non-coding RNA, 253 nt
Filed under: Hevea brasiliensis (rubber tree)
Lineage: Eukaryota; Viridiplantae; Streptophyta; Magnoliopsida; Malpighiales; Euphorbiaceae
Source: RNAcentral